UACGUAGGGACCGAGCGUUGUCCGGAUUCAUUGGGCGUAAAGAGCUCGUAGGCGGCCACUCAAGUCGAAUGUGAAACCUCGAGGCUUAACCUCGAGCCUGCAUUCGAUACUGGGCGGCUAGAGUCUGGUAGGGGGAUCUGGAAUUCCUGGUGUAGCGGUGGAAUGCGCAGAUAUCAGGAGGAACACCGGUGGCGAAGGCGGGAUCCUGGGCCAGUACUGACGCUGAGGCGCGAAAGCUAGGGGAGCAAACGGG
This 253-nucleotide ribosomal RNA is filed under the name uncultured bacterium. RNAcentral's name for it is "partial 16S ribosomal RNA". It matches the Rfam family "Bacterial small subunit ribosomal RNA", at positions 524 to 776 of the family's 1533-position model. The record is from RNAcentral.